CAAAAUUCAAACUCUUUGUUGUAUAAAACUAAACAAUAACAUUGAUUUAAUUUAUUUUUAUUUGGAUUUAUUUUUAACAAAAGAAUCCAAACCAGAGCGAUUAGCGUUACCCAAAAUGUACUAUUGGAAAAACUGGACGCUAAACUCUGUGAAUGCACUUCAAAUGGAAGACGAUGCUGCGAACACCAAUGAUCAUCAUCAACAACAACAACAACCGGAACAAGAACAUGAAUAUCGAAAGCUGCAAUUUACCAUUGUUUGGCUUCCAGACAUUGUUGCGGCAAGGGGCAUAAUGUACAAAGCUCUGUGUUUCAUUUUUGAUUUAGCAUUGAUAAGUUUGUUUGUAAGACCACCACAACCUCGAAGACCACCGUAUCGUAAAAAACCACCGGUACGCAGACAGCCAAAAGAAAAUGUAAAUUUUCUUCCAGUCCAAGUAAACAAUAAUGAUCAACCAGCAUCAAUCAAUUGAAGAAAAGAAAACUUGUUAACUAAAAUAGUUAUUACCAAAGUUUGUUUUUGUGGCUUUGAUUUGUACAUAAUAUCUGAGAUAUUGUGUAUAAAGUACCCCACGCCCGCAUUCGACCAUCAAUAUAUACCCCGAUAAUGGAUGAAUUUGCUCCAACAAUUGUUUAGUGAGUAGUUUAACAAAAAGAUGGCACCAAAAAAUACACCUGGUCAACGAAUUUACAUUUCGCCGGAAAAAUAUUUAUCUAUUUCUUUCGGAACUACUGAUGGGAAAACUCUGACAUUGCACAAAUAUUAAACGCACACUCUUUACAAGACAAUUUGCCACCGCCUACAGCACUUUGGAUGUUGAUUUAAGAGCUGACAGCCGAGGAAAUAUCUGGUCUGUCGUCCAAAUUAAAUAUCAAACAAAUUUAUCAAAUAUUGUUUGGAGUCAUUGCUCGGACCAAUCAUAUCACUGCUAAGAGAUUCUCUCGAAACUGAUGUUGUUCCACAAAUAUGGAAGACAUCAUAUGUACGACCAGUUUACAAAAACGGUGACAGAAACAACAUCGAAUAUUACCGGAGUGUUGCUCUUCAGUCUUCAGUGUAUGGUGUCUAAAUUACUUGAUUCAAUCGUCACAAACCAUCUCAAUCUAUAUCUGACGAACAUUGUUUACGAAAACCAGCAUGGAUUCAUCAAGAACAGGUCAACAACGAUAACAAACUUGGCAGAAUUUACAUCAAAUACGAUUAUCAACAUGGGUAAAGGUACCAUUUAGCAUCGCAAAGGUUUUUGAUUCUGUAAACAUCAAUUACUAAUUCAAAAGCUAGAAAUAAUGGAUCUUAAAAUGGAUCGAAUCUUAUUUGUUUCACAGAUAUUGGAUACCAAAUCAGUCAAAUCAUUUGAUGAAGGUAAUCGAUCAAGUUUUUCUCACCGAUAAAAUUGUCUAGAAUGUGUUGGAAGAACACAUAAGAUGGUAAACGAUGUUUUUUUUUAUUGCUAUGAGACCCUUUAAAAUGAAACGGGCGUUAAAAUCGCGAUGUGAAUAAUGCUUUGAAGAAAAUUGAGUGGUAUCCAAAUUUCCUUCAUUUUUCUACAUUUAGCCCACUUUAAAAUAAAUAGAUUCAUAUUCAUUUCCGUCAGCAGAAAUGUGUAUUUUUUUAAUGAUAAAUGUCUCUUGUUGAACCAAAAUUUUAUGUUAUGAAUUACUAUUAACGUAAUGUGCCCAGUUACAGGAGACCUAAUAAGCUUGUUUGAAUUUGAACUAUUCUAGAGAAAAAAAUAUGUUAUAUUUCUUAUUACUCUUUUCGUAGAUCGCUUCGUUAUUCAUUUCUCUCUCAAAAUAUUUCUAUAUAUUGGGUGUAUCAAUUAAUUUUUACCGCUGACUGUUAGAUGUCGCCACUUGUCCGAGAUAUCGUUUCGAAAUGCUGAAGAAGUGCGAAAAUGGAUCGAUGACUGGAUAGCUUCAAAAGAUGAGGAAUUCUUUCGACGCGGAAUCGACAAGCUACCAAGAAGAUGGGCGGAAGUCAUAGCUAACAAUGGGCAAUACAUCGGUUAAAAAAUAUUGUACGCUUUCUUUAAAAUAAACUUACAUUUUCACCCAAAAAACGGUAAAAAUUAAUUGAUACACCCAAUA
Contarinia nasturtii (swede midge) is the source of this 2087-nucleotide long non-coding RNA. RefSeq lists it as uncharacterized. The record is from RefSeq and is a predicted model, not a curated record. The transcript has 5 exons. Lineage: Eukaryota; Metazoa; Arthropoda; Insecta; Diptera; Cecidomyiidae.